RNAcentral lists this transfer RNA (84 nucleotides) under Gymnopilus junonius. It matches the Rfam family "tRNA". From Rfam's summary of the family: Transfer RNA (tRNA) molecules are approximately 80 nucleotides in length. Their secondary structure includes four short double-helical elements and three loops (D, anti-codon, and T loops). The record is from Rfam by way of RNAcentral. Lineage: Eukaryota; Fungi; Basidiomycota; Agaricomycetes; Agaricales; Galerinaceae.
GGUGCUAUAGUGUAGUGGUUAUCACUCGGGAUUUUGAUCUUAGCUCGUCUUCCCGAAACCCAGGUUCGAACCCUGGUAGCACCU